GAAUCGAAACAUAUAAAAUCAGCGAUUGCAAGCUUGAAAUCGAAUAUAGAUUGUCUAAGGCUUGAUAGACGUUGACUACCCAAAGUGAUUCGACUAUUCUCAAGGACUACGAGUGUACGUUUUGGCCUAAUAGACUGUGCUCUAUCACCGACACAUGGUGAAUGGCAUGCAUCCUUUCGGUUACUUACGCCACUCGAGUCGUUGGAAUCCAUCGAGACUUUGGUGAGAGCUUUGUAAAACCAAAAUAGAGAGGGGAACGAGUCAUCAAGGUUCGGGUUUCACCCCUAACUUAGCGACUACAUUCCUGUUUGUGUGAUAGCAUCAUGAGAUUGAGGGAGAAAUCUGCGUCGAAGUACGGAUUUCACUCCUGAUUCAACGCAAAUUCUCGUGUUUAUAGUAAAAAUGCGGGUCGAGCAAGCGAUCUGAUCGAGAGUUUGUGGUUUUCACACCUAAUCUCGAUCUAAUCACUCGUUCAUUUUCGAAAAUAGAGCAGUGCGACUAGCUUAGGAAAGGCAGUGUGAUAGUAUAGCAUGAUUGCGAGUCGAUCGAGAAAUGGCAGUAAGCUCGUGCGGAACCCCUAACGGGUUCGCACAAGGCGGUUUGUUGGUACUUAGACUAUAGACUAGGUCGUUUCUAAGACAUUGACCCGGACUAGGUCGAGUCUUGCCUAAUUCCCUAUAGCCAUGCUGAUACCAAUCAGUCACAACCCAACCGAUGGCGGAAACAUCGGGGCGCGACACUGAGCGAAACAGAUUGUCCAUGAGAAAUUCCAUAACAACUAAAUUACCGGAUAGUUAAUAUUAUGUCCCAUACCAUAACCCAUCAAGUAAAAUCAAUUAUUACAGACAUCGAUAUCUCAAAGACAAAUAACAUGUUCCGACAACUUAGAUUUAAAUAAAUAAAUUGUCUUUGUUUCUAGACUCCAUCCUAACUUGAUUUCCAGCAAGUAACAAGCAAAGCAUCCUAAGCACCUGCCACAUACAUUAAAAUAGAGGUCAAUACACAUAGUGUAAAUGUGAGCAUACAAGUUUAAUAAUAUAAUAGAGUUCGAAAUCGUUUACGCCUAACCAGCACGUAACAUGUAACAAAGUGAAGGCUAGUAGGUUAUCGACAGAGAAAUAUGCACAUACAUGACUGCGAGUUGUAGAAUGCGCAACACAUAUCCCCACUGAGACAUGUGAAGUAAAGCCCUUAACAACCCCUGUCCACGAAAGGUGCUGAGUCCAAACUAUAGUACUAUCGUUGCUAAGGUGUCAGGCUACAAUCACUGUGUUAACAUAACAUACAAGCAUUCAUAACACGUAGCAUGCAAUAACGGUCAGCGUAUAAAUAGUGUUUGCGUUGAGUAUCGUUUGUGAUUUAAAUAAGUAACGUAUGUAACACCCAAAAGUGCGUAAAGCAAAAAGGGUUCGAGUAUACUCACAGAUAGCGUUUAAGUUAAUAAACACUGCCUUGGAUUGAAGGGAGCGCUGAGAGAGUAGCCUAAACAGUUAACGAUAGCAUAAGCGAAGAACGGCGUGUUAAACAGGAAAAGUGACUAAGUGUCAAAUGGUAAUCCAGUCGGAUGGUCAUUCGAUCGGAUGUCAAUCCGUUCGGAUGGUCAUCCGAUCGGAUGGCCAUUCGGUCGGAUUGACACUCGUUUGAAAAGGGAUGUGUUUGUGUAUGAUGGCUUUGAAGUUUUUGUUGUAGCAUUUUGAAAACAGAGAAGUAUCUCUACCCUUCAGGUAGACCGAUCGAACGGUCGUUCGAUCGGAUAGCGAUUCGAUCGGCGAGACAUUUCUAGUGAGAACAAGUUCACAGCAGGAUUGUCACUCAAUCGGAUAGCAAUCCGAUCGGAUGGCAAUCCGAUCGGAUGGCAAUCCGUUAGAAACUGAUGUUCUUUGAAAAUUAUGAAAAUGAUUAAGUGUCGAAGUUCCAAAUGUCAGUCGAUCGGAUGGUCGUUUGAUUGGAUGGCAAUCUGAUCGGACGGCAAUCCAUUCGACAUGCAGUUUGUUUGAAAACUUGAAAAUUGACUAAGUAUGGAAGCUCAAGUGCAAUCCGGUCGGAUUGUAGUUCGAUCGGAUGGCAAUCCGAUCGGACGGCAAUCCAUCCCAACGAACCUGAUCGUCUUGAACUUGAUUAGUUUUGAAAGUUUUGUAGUUUGAUCGAGACGGUGUGAUAAUGUGCUAAACAACGGAACCUCGUCAAGUCCCAAGUCGCCCGAUCGAACAGGAACUACCCUAAUCCGACCAGUUAGCUGUUCUUGACGGUUGUUCAUGUUCAUCCCGAAAUCGGUUGUCUCUUUGAUAGAAACCAGAUCUCAGACCGACACUUCACUAAGAGUUGAGUAGAAGAUCUGAAUGAGCUCCUAUUCUAUCAGUUUUGAGUGCAUUGAGUGUAAAAGAGUUGAAAGAAUGCUGGAAAAGUAUCCUUGAAUCCUUUUAACUUUGAAAAUGUUUAGAUCUAUGCGAAAUCGUUGUGAAAUCACGUGGAAAUCCUUCAGAUCAGAGUUAUUCUUGGUGGAUUGAGGUCAAAACUUGAAGUUCAUAAGAACUCCAUGAUGACAUCACCCUAGAACACUUCAAAUCCGUUGAUUUCACGGUUAAAAGUUAAGAUUCAAAGGUAAGAAGAUGAAUGAGUGUAUGUAGAUCAUAGAUGUAUAAGAUUUAGGUUGAAAACUUACAAGAAUCGCGAGAAAUCGAGAGAAAAGAGGGUUGGAGCGUGUUGGUCGGUGGAGAGAGAGUUGUCACAUCACUUGUGAUGUGACAGGAGGUAUUUAUAGGUUGCCAAAAAGGGAAAGGGAGUGCAAGUGUCGGAUAGCAUGCCGAUCGGAUGACACUUCAAUCGGAUGGCAAUCCGAUCGGAUGGCCAUUCGAUCGAACGGUCAUUCGAUCGAGUGGCUCCGACGAGUUGUGUUUCGAAAUUUCGUUUCACGUUUUGGACGUUGCGAUGCGUUUAAGCGAGUAUUGAUUUAGCGAUGCGAUAGAUUAAUAAUAGUCACACACAAGCCCUAUAUCUAACACACAAUCAUCAAUAAUUAACUUGCGUUUAGCGUUUGCGAUUAAAUUGUGUUGCAAUAGAGUUGCGAUUGCGUUUCGAUUAGUCACCACAAACAUAAAGUAAACAUGUACAAGUAACACAUAAGUAACACACACACGUAAAACAAUACACUGAACCUAUAAAUCAAGUUGCGAAUGCGAUGCGAUUAGUGAUAAAGCGAUAAAACAUCGAUUAAACCUCGAUUAUUAAUAGAUACUCCACAUAAUACAACUAAAGCGAUAAAAUAAAAGAUUCGAUCACAAGUCAAAGAAGUAAAGUCAGUAGUUAAGCAAAGAGUGACAGAUCGCAAUUAGCAAUCUUUUCUUUCUUUGACUUUGACUUCCGUAACACGGGGUGUUACACCUACGCACCCGCCAAGAACUCUAUGUAAACAACCAUGGUAAGUGUUGGUAAGGGCUGCCAAAACAGAUUGUGAACGUGAAGACAACAAUGAGCGUUUCUGGGUUGAAUCGAGGUGUAUGAACGGUGGGUCUGUACAAACAACCAUGGUAAGGUUUUGUGUAAAUGAAAUCGUCUUUAUUCAAAGUUUUGUGUAAAUGUAUACAUUUAUCGACAUUUAUGUAUAUUCAUUUUUGUUUAUUGUUUUCUAUUUGUUGGAAAAUGGCCUAUGAGUCUAUAUGAAGAAAAAAGUGAGAGCUAGAGCUUCUUGUGCAAAAGAAGGAGUUAUCAUAAGAAUCAUUUAUCCAAAAUGAUUGCACCAAAGACACUUCAUAUGUUAGCAAGAAUGAACAAGAAUAAACAAGUUCAACGAUUGUGAUAAUCAUCAUAUCCAAAAUGAUUGCACCCAAAGACAGUUCAAUAUCCUAGAUUCGCCACUGCCAGUAACUUAAGUAUCCAUUUUUUGAAAAUAGGGACUCAUGUUGAUUUUUGCAACAUAACAUAGGGACACAAAUUACACUUUACUUAUUAAAAUAAAAAUUAAUCACGAUUAGUUAUAAU
RNAcentral lists this long non-coding RNA (3978 nucleotides) under Helianthus annuus (common sunflower). RNAcentral describes it as "hypothetical non coding rna". Lineage: Eukaryota; Viridiplantae; Streptophyta; Magnoliopsida; Asterales; Asteraceae. The record is from RNAcentral.